AGAGAUGUGUGAUGACGCAUAUCAAUAAGCGGAGGAAAAGAAACUAACAAGGAUUCCCUUAGUAACGGCGAGUGAAGCGGGAAGAGCUCAAAUUUGAAAUCUUCAAGGUUCUACCUUGACGAAUUGUAGUUUAUAGAAGUGUUUUCUGUUAGUAGAGUGGCAAAAGUUCUUUGGAAUAGGACAUCAUAGAGGGUGAGAAUCCCGUAUUUGGUCAUUCCUCCUAGCGUUGUGAUACACUUUCAACGAGUCGGAUUGUUUGGGAAUGCAGUCCAAAAUGGGUGGUAAAUUUCAUCUAAAGCUAAAUAUUGGCGAGAGACCGAUAGCGAACAAGUACCGUGAGGGAAAGAUGAAAAGAACUUUGAAAAGAGAGUUAAACAGUACGUGAAAUUGUCAAAAGGGAAGCGUUUGACACCAGUGUUGUUUUUCCGAAAAUCAAUUACGAAUGUUUUGUUUUUGAGGAGUUAUGACUUCAUCGGCUUGCUCCUUUCUUUACGAAACUUUCUUAAUGCACUUUUCGGUUAACAAGUCAACAUCAAUUUCUUUUGUUGUAAAAGGGUAUGAGGAAGGUGGCUUUCUUUUCGGAGAAAGUGUUUAUAGCCUUGUACCUCUGCAAUCGGAGAGAUUGAGGUCUGCAGCGUAGAUCCUUCGGGGUUAGAUACAUUUGUGCUAAGUUAUAGCUUUUCAUAGACAACUUGUUGACUAUGUUUAGUCUUGUAGCUUACUCGCUUAUGCUAUUUUACCUACGCUUAGGAUGUUGACAGCAGUAUAGACUGU
This 774-nucleotide ribosomal RNA is filed under the name uncultured Neocallimastigales. RNAcentral's name for it is "partial large subunit ribosomal RNA". It matches the Rfam family "Eukaryotic large subunit ribosomal RNA", at positions 23 to 640 of the family's 3401-position model. Lineage: Eukaryota; Fungi; Neocallimastigomycota; Neocallimastigomycetes; Neocallimastigales. The record is from RNAcentral.